Molecule: long non-coding RNA, 411 nt
Organism: Triplophysa rosa
Lineage: Eukaryota; Metazoa; Chordata; Actinopteri; Cypriniformes; Nemacheilidae
Exons: 3
Source: RefSeq, a predicted model, not a curated record
CAUGAACUGGAAUUUUCCCCAAAGUGCUCCAAUCCAUCACGGGACAACAGCGGGCCAACCAUCCAUACAUCAUUUUUGAGCUGGGGGUGGACCUGGAAGAGAGAGAGUGAGGUGGUUUUGUCGGGUUAUGUGAAGUGUGUUUCGGCAGCAAUGCAGUUUCAGAUGAUGGAAAGCUGAUGAGAUGUAGAUGAUCGGUCCUUCAGCAGACCCCUCUGUACUGGAUAGAAAGUCAGAUUCAGUAAGAUUGUUUGAAUCUUUGAUCUUGAGUUCUUUCUCAUUUUCUUCUGAUGUGUUUUACUUUUGCAUUCAUGCAUUAUGCAGACGCUUUUAUCUGAAGCGACUCACAACGGAUUCAAUACAUUUGAUCAGUAUUUGCGCACCCAUGACCUUGCGCUCUGUAGCGCUCUAGCA